Molecule: non-coding RNA, 849 nt
Organism: Cinara cedri
Lineage: Eukaryota; Metazoa; Arthropoda; Insecta; Hemiptera; Aphididae
Source: the annotation of a GenBank genome assembly
CCCAUUCUUUAAUUUGUGGGAAGUCUACCAUUUUCCAUUUAUAAAGCAACUAUUUAUAGUGCUCUUGUCCAGUGCGUAAAUUGGUUUAACAAGAUCUAAUUUUGUUGAGGUAACUGAUAUCCCGGUACAGGACUAUCUAAUGUAUUGUUUCAAUUGUCAGGUUUGAUUUUUCUCUUUCUGAUUUCUAUUCAGCUGAGUAGUCAUAGUGGUCUUAGUAAGUUCUCUCAUAUUUAUAUGAACAGUUUUCUGGAUUUCAGUCAAGAUUCAUUGUCUAGAAUCUAGAUUAAUUGGGAGAGAUUUAAUUAUCAGAUUUUUUUUUUUUGUCCAUUUUCUAAAUUAUGCUUAGCUGAUUUACAACAAAAGAGGUGGUCAGUUAUUGCACAAGACUAGGAGUUAUUGUUUUGGUGUUAACUUAACUGUGCCAGAGAUCAUUUUUAUAGUAGUUGAGCAAAACAUCGAUUUUGUUUUAGUGAGAACUGUUUACACUAACCAUACGUACUCUGGGAGCUGAGUACACUUAGUAUGCACAGACAUCCUUAAUGUGAGAGUAGAUGCUUCCCAGGAUGAGCUUGCUAGUUAUUUUAUUAAAUUAUUUAGAAUUUUAAAUAUAUUUUUUAGAUGUCCUUUGAUUGUAAGCUACCUGUUCAUGUAUUUAGUAGUUUGAUCGUAUUUUAGAGUACUGCCACAGAACACAAUUUUGGUUGACAUUUGGCUUGAUGACUAUUUAAGUGAAAAGUUGUCAUUGUAAUUUAUUAUCAUUAGGUUUGAGUCACCAUAGAUAAGGUGAAAUGGUGAAAUUAAAUUUUUUUGUUAAUAUUUCCUCAAUAUUUUGAAUGUGUCGUUUUGCAC